GCCCAUCAACUGAAGCAGGGUCUUAGUUUGGUAGAACCCUGAACCGUUACGACUGCAGAAACUACGCAAACCCUAAAAACUUUCCGAUAACGAAAUGGCUUGCGUCGCCGGCACUGCCGCGAGAUCGAUAUUCCGGUCAUCCUCCGCCGCCCGCACCGCUUUCCGUAUCGGUUCAGAAGCUAAAACAGCUCGUUCUCCUUUCCGAAUCGCCUCCAAUAAGCCUCUUUCGCAAUCCGCACUCAGGUGUCCUGUUGAAUUGAGCUUCUGUGUUGAAUCGAUGUUGCCGUAUCAUACGGCAACUGCUUCUGCGUUGAUGACUUCAAUGUUAGUAGUUUCUGAACGCAGAUACGGUUGGCUUCCUGAAGGUAGCUAAACAUCUGUAGGAUUCCUUGUGUUCUUUCUUCAAUUUAAUUUGCGGGCAAGGAGAAGACUAUUUGAAGAUCAAGAAGCAAGAUUGCAAUGAUGAUGUGUGAUAAGUGUUCUGAAGAUCGAAGCAAUCUUUUAUGUACAAUCUGCUUCGUGAGACAGUGUCUUGUCUGAGCCAUUGGCGGGUCAAAUUGAGUCCCAAAGGCUGAAAGGAACUUUAAAAAGCUAGACCACCUGUAACUCUGUUAUUUCUUCUUUAGAUUUAUAAAAAAAACCUACUAUUGACCCACCAGGAUUGUAGUGUCUAAAGUCAAAUAAGCUGAAAUUGUAUUGCACAAUGUUGGACAAGUUUUCUUGGCCAUGUUUUAUAGAAAUUUCAUAUUGAAUCAGCUAGGGAUGUUUAUGGAUGUAGAGAUGGAGUGUUGAGCUGUUUUUUAAUUAAUUUUCGCAAGUCCCUCUACUCUA
Molecule: RNA transcript, 831 nt
Organism: Cicer arietinum (chickpea)
Lineage: Eukaryota; Viridiplantae; Streptophyta; Magnoliopsida; Fabales; Fabaceae
Gene name: protein NUCLEAR FUSION DEFECTIVE 6, mitochondrial-like
Source: RefSeq, a predicted model, not a curated record